RNAcentral lists this ribosomal RNA (464 nucleotides) under uncultured Klebsiella sp. RNAcentral describes it as "bacterial SSU rRNA". It matches the Rfam family "Bacterial small subunit ribosomal RNA", at positions 338 to 795 of the family's 1533-position model. Lineage: Bacteria; Pseudomonadati; Pseudomonadota; Gammaproteobacteria; Enterobacterales; Enterobacteriaceae. The record is from RNAcentral.
CCUACGGGUGGCAGCAGUGGGGAAUAUUGCACAAUGGGCGCAAGCCUGAUGCAGCCAUGCCGCGUGUGUGAAGAAGGCCUUCGGGUUGUAAAGCACUUUCAGCGGGGAGGAAGGCGGUGAGGUUAAUAACCUCAUCGAUUGACGUUACCCGCAGAAGAAGCACCGGCUAACUCCGUGCCAGCAGCCGCGGUAAUACGGAGGGUGCAAGCGUUAAUCGGAAUUACUGGGCGUAAAGCGCACGCAGGCGGUCUGUCAAGUCGGAUGUGAAAUCCCCGGGCUCAACCUGGGAACUGCAUUCGAAACUGGCAGGCUAGAGUCUUGUAGAGGGGGGUAGAAUUCCAGGUGUAGGGGGGAAAUGCGUAGAGAUCUGGAGGAAUACCGGUGGCGAAGGCGGCCCCCUGGACAAAGACUGACGCUCAGGUGCGAAAGCGUGGGGAGCAAACAGGAUUAAUACCCCUGUAGUC